GCAGGGACAGUGCCACCCCUGGGGACAGGCAGGGCAGGGACAGUGCCACCCCUGGGGACAGCACAGCUGGUGGCAGUGCCACUGUCCCAAUCAAGGACAGCACAGCCAGGGCCAGUGCCACCCCUGGGGACAGGCCAGGCAGUGCCACCCCUGGGGACAGGCAGAUCAGGGCCAGUGCCACCCCUGGGGACAGGCCAGGCAGGGACAGGCCACCCAGAGACAGUGGCACCACUGGGGACAGGAGCAGUGGCAGUGGGGACAGGAGCAGUGGCAGUGCCACCGUCUCCAGCAGGGACAGGCCACCCAGGGCCAGUGGCACUGGGGACAGGAGCAGUGGCAGUGCCAUUGUCUCCGUCAGGGACAGGCCACCCAGAGACAGUGACAGUGGGGAAAGGAGCAGUGACACCACAGGGGACAGGCCUGGCAGUGCCACCACUGGGGACAGGCCACACAGGCCCAGUGACUUUGGGGACAGGAGCAGUGGCAGUGCCACCGUGCCCAGCAAGGACAGGCCACACAGGCC
Molecule: long non-coding RNA, 523 nt
Filed under: Parus major (Great Tit)
Lineage: Eukaryota; Metazoa; Chordata; Aves; Passeriformes; Paridae
Description: lncRNA (ENSPMJG00000002766.1)
Source: RNAcentral